AUCUCAACUCAAAGAGGAUGGAUGUAGAUGAUCUUAUACAUCAUUUUAGCAUGUGGGGAGAUUUCAAAGGCAACAUCUAUCAGGAUGCAUAUGCUGCCAUGAUUAUAGGGAUGGAUGCAAAGCUAGACAACCAUUUGGAGAAUGUUUGACACACAACAAUUGGAUCUUCUAAUCAUUUCGAUCAAGAAGCAAGUAAACCAUGUGAUAAGGUUCAAAUAGUGAAGAACCUCGUAAAAGCCAUUUGAAGAAAAAGGUAGGGGAUAUACAAGAGAAAUCACUUUCCUUUUGAAUUUAGAAUUCUAAAAAUUGCCUUUUAUUUAUGUUAUGAAGUUUAAACUGUCAUCUAAUUAUACAAAAAUAUGCAUAAAAUUAUCAUUUUUUUUUAGUAUGAUUUCAUUUAACAACUUAUUAUGAACCAUGCAUUUUGUUAUUAGUAAGCCUAUAUGUUCGGUAGAAGUUAGUCGUUUGAAUCUGCUUCAUCUUGAACAAGAACUUGAACAAACUAAGGCACAAGUUGCUUUAUUGAGUGGUUUAUUCAAUGCUAAUCAUCUUGGGAUUACUGGAGCUGCAAACUCAGGAAGCAGGUCAAAGUUUACAAGAUUAUAUGAAGUUCGGGGAAAAUGUUCAACUGCAAUGAAUUGUAUAGUUUUUUUUUUGUUACUU
Lactuca sativa (garden lettuce) is the source of this 663-nucleotide non-coding RNA. NCBI's taxonomy places the organism in Eukaryota, Viridiplantae, Streptophyta, Magnoliopsida, Asterales, Asteraceae. The record is from RefSeq and is a predicted model, not a curated record.